GUUUAUAUAAUUUAUAAAGAAUAUUGCAUUGAAGAUGCUAAGGAGGUGAGAAUACACCUGUAAACA
RNAcentral lists this transfer RNA (66 nucleotides) under Varuna litterata. Its description in RNAcentral is "tRNA-Phe". The record is from RNAcentral. Lineage: Eukaryota; Metazoa; Arthropoda; Malacostraca; Decapoda; Varunidae. RNAcentral also lists the same sequence under 1 other name.